RNAcentral lists this ribosomal RNA (460 nucleotides) under uncultured bacterium. RNAcentral describes it as "partial 16S ribosomal RNA". It matches the Rfam family "Bacterial small subunit ribosomal RNA", at positions 338 to 795 of the family's 1533-position model. The record is from RNAcentral.
CCUACGAGAGGCAGCAGUGAGGAAUAUUGGUCAAUGGGCGCGAGCCUGAACCAGCCAAGUCGCGUGAGGGAUGACGGUCCUACGGAUUGUAAACCUCUUUUGCCGGGGAGCAAGCGUGCGUUCGUGAACGCGCGUCGAGAGUACCCGGAGAAAAAGCAUCGGCUAACUCCGUGCCAGCAGCCGCGGUAAUACGGGGGAUGCGAGUGGUAUCCGGAUUUAUUGGGUUUAAGGGGUGCGUAGGCGGUAUGCCAAGUCAGCGGGAAAGAUGCGGUGCUCACCGGCGUCGAGCCGUUGAAGCUGGCGUUCUUGAGUGGGCGAGAAGUAUGCGGAAGGCGUGGUGUAGCGGUGAAAUGCAUAGAUAUCACGCAGAACUCCGAUUGCGAAGGCAGCAUACCGGCGCCCUACUGACGCUGAGGCACGAAAGCGUGGGUAUCGAACAGGAUUAGAUACCCGUGUAGUC